CGGACGGGUGAGUAAUGUCUGGGAAACUGCCUGAUGGAGGGGGAUAACUACUGGAAACGGUAGCUAAUACCGCAUAACGUCGCAAGACCAAAGAGGGGGACCUUCGGCCUCUUGCCAUCAGAUGUGCCCAGAUGGGAUUAGCUAGUAGGUGGGGUAACGGCUCACCUAGGCGACGAUCCCUAGCUGGUCUGAGAGGAUGACCAGCCACACUGGAACUGAGACACGGUCCAGACUCCUACGGGAGGCAGCAUG
Molecule: ribosomal RNA, 252 nt
Filed under: uncultured bacterium
Lineage: Bacteria
Description: partial 16S ribosomal RNA
Rfam family: Bacterial small subunit ribosomal RNA
Source: RNAcentral